This 30-nucleotide non-coding RNA is filed under the name Mus musculus (house mouse). Lineage: Eukaryota; Metazoa; Chordata; Mammalia; Rodentia; Muridae. The record is from RNAcentral.
AGGGAAGAAGAAUCACCAAUAUGCUUGUGU